GAGUUAGAAAGAUGUCGGAUUUAUAAUGCCUUUGAGAGAGUGACAAUGGAAAAUAAAGUCCUGAUCGGCUCGCUAGACUACAACACACGUAAGAACUUGGUAAAUGAAAGGAGAAAGACAAUUUUAAACUUAUUUUCGAAUUAGCAGUGUCCUCCACCAGUCUAGUUAGCACAACGAGUUAAUAGUCUGUACCGUGUACUAUACAACAGGCGGUCAGAGAGUGAGAAGUAGAGAAAAUACAGGAAAAAAGCAGUCAAAGACUAAAGUCUAGACCAGGAAUAGAUCUAGCUGCCACUAAUAAUUAUUAUCACAUGUCAGUGACAUGGCUGUAAUUAAUAAAUCACACCCACACUCAAGCGAGCUCAAUGAUAAUAGCAGGAAGAAGUCUUCGAACCAAUUGUCACUUUAUGACAAUCAAAGCAGCUACGAUAUAGAACAUGUAAAGGAAUUUGAUGCAAAUAAAGGAGCUAAAUUGCAGAGCUUUCAGAUAGCGUUUAAUGAAAAGCUAAGUGUUGCUGGUGAGCACUACUGCACAGAAACAGUUUUUUGUGGUCAAAGCAUUAGUAAAGAAACUAAAUUGGAAGGUAGUGAGAAGACAAAUGGCAAGCUGAUAAAAUUGUAUUCUGUAAAAUAUUUAUUUUUA
Long non-coding RNA from Amphimedon queenslandica, 643 nucleotides. RefSeq lists it as uncharacterized. The record is from RefSeq and is a predicted model, not a curated record. The transcript is spliced from 3 exons. Lineage: Eukaryota; Metazoa; Porifera; Demospongiae; Haplosclerida; Niphatidae.